RNAcentral lists this long non-coding RNA (521 nucleotides) under Pocillopora damicornis (cauliflower coral). RNAcentral describes it as "uncharacterized LOC113680244, transcript variant X2". The record is from RNAcentral. Lineage: Eukaryota; Metazoa; Cnidaria; Anthozoa; Scleractinia; Pocilloporidae.
AGCUGUUUGGCCAGAUUCCAUUUCAACUUCUGCCAAACAAUCAACUGACUUUGCCAAGACCUCAAUGUACUCCUAAAAGUUGCAAGGUGAUUAUUCAAAGGAAGUAGACAAAACGGGAAUGAAAUUAGGCAAACAGGACAUUUGAGAAACUGUCGAAGAUUCCCGUGUGGUGCAAACUCGACAACGACAAACAGAGGGCCUGAAACACAUUACUUAUGGAAAUUAUUAGUCAGAGAUGAUAAUCUGGUAAGCUAAGGUGGCGGCCACGGACGAGGAUAGACCUAAUCAGCACGUCAUCGCUCACAGGGCACACAUGUAGCUCAUGGGUCGCACAGAGAGAGAUUCCAACAGCCACAUGGGAUAUGUUGCUGGGGUGGUUACUGGCUACCCGCAUAAGCGACAGUGGUAAUGACGGCUGUUAUUCUAAGGCACGUUGCAGUUCUUAACCAUUUAACUCCUAAGAGUGGCUAAGAAGUGAUCCUUCUAACCAUAUCAUUACAUUGCCAAGCAAAAGGUGAUUG